Molecule: long non-coding RNA, 2187 nt
Filed under: Sus scrofa (pig)
Lineage: Eukaryota; Metazoa; Chordata; Mammalia; Artiodactyla; Suidae
Description: lncRNA (ENSSSCG00040035089.1)
Source: RNAcentral
ACUGGAAGAGUCUUACAACUAGCUUUGGAGGGCUUGAGUAUCCACCUAGAGUUAAUACAUGGUCUAAAAAGAUAUCCAGUUAAUAAAUGGUCCUAUUGAUACAGAUGGAUACUUGCUCUUAUUGUUCUGUUCAAUACUGAGUAUUUAUUUUCCUUAUUAAAACUGAUUUGGUUCCAGUAUAAGCUGUAGUCAAUUGACCAUGGAUCUUGAUUAAUUUCUCCCUUUUUUUUUUUUUCUUUUUCUUUUUAGAGCUGCACUUGUGGCAUAUGGAGGCUCCCAGGCUAGGGCAACAAUAAAUCAAUAAAUAAAUAGUUCUCAGUGUGGGCUUAGGGUUAGGGUGACCAGACAUUCCAUUUGGCCUGGGAUAGCCCAAUUUAUGUUUACUCCCCACUAGGAAUUAGAUGGAGGGAAGAGGGGAGGGCAUCAGGUAUUAAGAAAGAAAUCAAAAGAAAAAUGACACAGGCAAGUAACUGUGGUGUUUUUAUGUUUGUUGUGUUUGCUGAAUGAAUGUGUAGAGGCAUGUAUUUGUGUAAAAAAAAAAAGGUGAAAAGACAAGUGAGGGAAACAGAGGACGUGGUCUGAAAAAGGGAUGAAGAGGAGACGAAAUGACACUACAAGAUCAUACAAUUGUAUAGGCUCUACUUGGGUUUUAGGAAAAUGAGUUUGAAAAUACCACCCAGACAGAACAAAGUAGAGUGGUUGAAAGCAGAAAAAGCCAGGAAAAAGAAUAUUGAAAUAAUCAAGGUGGGAGGCAAAUAAGAAUGGAUCAAGGUGGCUGGGAAUUUGUCAUAGUCAAAGAACACUGAAGGGAAGAAAUGACAAAAUUCCAGUCAACAGACAAGUAAUUAAGCCUUACAUCAUUGUUUAUUAUUCAUCCGCCCCAACUUUUAGAGGCUGUUGCUAUGGGCAAUGAGAGAACAUGCAGGAUUGCCUAGUGCACUCCUGAUGCUUUGGGACUAAGGGACAGCAAACUGAAAUAAUGUCACAUGCUACCAAAAUAUGAUUAUCAAAAAAAAAGUGAGGGGAGACUUGUGUUCUAUAACAGAAAAAGUGUAGGCAAACUGAACUGUUGUCACAUGCAAUUUAACUUCAACAAAAUGGUAUCAUGUUUCAGGAAUUUAAUAGUGCUAACUCAAAUUUUGUUGAUUUUGUUCUGUGUAAUGUACAUUUGCUUUGGCUUUAUAGAUGUAUAAGUGCUACAGGCAUGAGGAGUUCAUACCUGGUUUGAAGUUUAGGUGUAUGUAGGAAUAUCACACUAAAAAUGGUUUAUGUCAGAAAGGAAGAUAUAUAAUAAUUAUCUCUUCUUAAAGAUGUGAAUGCAUGCCUCAAGUUUGAGAAAGAAUAUCUAAUACACAUAAGAUUGUAAUUUACAUCACUGGCUUUGACAAGGAAAUAGUUAUUAGUGAUGUGCAACUGAACAGUUUAAGUGGACUGAUGGAUGGGCGUCAAAUGACAAUGUGCCAGGAAGAAAAAGCGGAAUUAAAAAGUAACAGCAGCAGUUGAGACCACAUCAAGAAGUGUAUAUUGUGUACAACAAAUUCUGAAGGAAAACCAUAAAGUAAAGCAAUACAAGCAAUAAAAUCAACCAUAUAAGCUAUGAUUGAUACUCAGGACUGAGUACGAGAGCUGCUCUUGGCUAAAACAAGAAUUUUGCGGUUAUGUGGUGGACAUUCAAUAUAUUUCUUUCCAGAAAGGUGAAUAUAUCAAUAGGCAGGAGUUAAUUUCAUGGCCAAAUUGAUAAACGACAAUUUACAAGAUUCAUUAAAAGGCAAAGUAUAAAGAACUAUCCAGGUGCCGUAUCUAAUUAUCCCAAACCACAAAUCAGUUAACCAAAGGCCCAUGGGUCAUACCCAUGUGCCAUUGAUUUAGGAGCUGGUUUUAUGACUUUUUUGUCAGGCAGUGUUGUUGAGUUCCAGGACUACACGGCUAAAACACUGACUUUCAUCCUUCUGAUUCCUUCUUCUAAAAAAUAGCAAAUAAUUAAUUGAAGGCCAGCUGCCAAGACAUUGGUUAGGAGAUCAUGAAGACCUGACGUUGUAUAAAUAAGAUUCCAAAGCUAAUCUAGGUGUGAUCUAAGAGUCUCAUACAGAAAAGAAUGAACCUAAAAUUAUCAGGACACCUAUUCUUUGGUUUUAGAGAAUUGUAUUCUAAUGGCUUCCAUUCUAGUAAUAUGAGGAUUUACUACCA